RNAcentral lists this ribosomal RNA (490 nucleotides) under uncultured bacterium. Its description in RNAcentral is "partial 16S ribosomal RNA". It matches the Rfam family "Bacterial small subunit ribosomal RNA", at positions 28 to 507 of the family's 1533-position model. The record is from RNAcentral.
GAUGAACGCUAGCGAUAGGCUUAACACAUGCAAGUCGAGGGGCAGCAUGGUCUUAGCUUGCUAAGGCUGAUGGCGGCCGGCGCACGGGUGCGUAACGCGUAUGCAACUUGCCUCACAGAGGGGGAUAACCCGUCGAAAGACGGACUAAUACCGCGUACACUCUAUGUUGGGCAUCCAAUGUAGAGGAAAUGAAAUUCGCUGUGAGAUAGGCAUGCGUCCCAUUAGCUAGUUGGUGAGGUAACGGCUCACCAAGGCGACGAUGGGUAGGGGAACUGAGAGGUUGAACCCCCACACUGGUACUGAGACACGGACCAGACUCCUACGGGAGGCAGCAGUGAGGAAUAUUGAUCAAUGGGCGAGAGCCUGAACCAGCCAAGUCGCGUGAAGGAUGACUGUCUUAUGGAUUGUAAACUUCUUUUAUACGGGAAUAACAAGAGUCACGUGUGGCUCCCUGCAUGUACCGUAUGAAUAAGCAUCGGCUAACUCCGUG